AGAUGAACGCUAGCUACAGGCUUAACACAUGCAAGUCGAGGGUCAGCAUCAUCAAAGCUUGCUUUGAUGGAUGGCGACCGGCGCACGGGUGAGUAACACGUAUCCAACCUGCCGACAACACUGGGAUAGCCUUUCGAAAGAAAGAUUAAUACCGGAUGGCAUAGUUUUUCCGCAUGGGAUAAUUAUUAAAGAAUUUCGGUUGUCGAUGGGGAUGCGUUCCAUUAGGCAGUUGGCGGGGUAACGGCCCACCAAACCAACGAUGGAUAGGGGUUCUGAGAGGAAGGUCCCCCACAUUGGAACUGAGACACGGUCCAAACUCCUACGGGAGGCAGCAGUGAGGAAUAUUGGUCAAUGGACGAGAGUCUGAACCAGCCAAGUAGCGUGAAGGAUGACUGCCCUAUGGGUUGUAAACUUCUUUUAUACGGGAAUAAAGUUAGCCACGUGUGGCUUUUUGUAUGUACCGUAUGAAUAAGGAUCGGCUAACUCCGUGCCAGCAGCCGCGGUAAUACGGAGGAUCCGAGCGUUAUCCGGAUUUAUUGGGUUUAAAGGGAGCGUAGGCGGGUUGUUAAGUCAGUUGUGAAAGUUUGCGGCUCAACCGUAAAAUUGCAGUUGAUACUGGCGACCUUGAGUGCAACAGAGGUAGGCGGAAUUCGUGGUGUAGCGGUGAAAUGCUUAGAUAUCACGAAGAACUCCGAUUGCGAAGGCAGCUUACUGGAUUGUAACUGACGCUGAUGCUCGAAAGUGUGGGUAUCAAACAGGAUUAGAUACCCUGGUAGUCCACACAGUAAACGAUGAAUACUCGCUGUUGGCGAUAUACGGUCAGCGGCCAAGCGAAAGCAUUAAGUAUUCCACCUGGGGAGUACGCCGGCAACGGUGAAACUCAAAGGAAUUGACGGGGGCCCGCACAAGCGGAGGAACAUGUGGUUUAAUUCGAUGAUACGCGAGGAACCUUACCCGGGCUUAAAUUGCAACUGACGGAACCGGAAACGGUUCUUUCUUCGGACAGUUGUGAAGGUGCUGCAUGGUUGUCGUCAGCUCGUGCCGUGAGGUGUCGGCUUAAGUGCCAUAACGAGCGCAACCCUUACGGGUAGUUACCAUCAGGUUAUGCUGGGGACUCUACCCGGACUGCCGUCGUAAGAUGUGAGGAAGGUGGGGACGACGUCAAAUCAGCACGGCCCUUACGUCCGGGGCUACACACGUGUUACAAUGGGGGGUACAGAAGGCAGCUACACGGCGACGUGGUGCUAAUCCCGAAAGCCUCUCUCAGUUCGGAUUGGAGUCUGCAACCCGACUCCAUGAAGCUGGAUUCGCUAGUAAUCGCGCAUCAGCCACGGCGCGGUGAAUACGUUCCCGGGCCUUGUACACACCGCCCGUCAAGCCAUGAAAGCCGGGGGUACCUAAAGUACGUAACCGCGAGGAGCGUCCUAGGGUAA
This 1433-nucleotide ribosomal RNA is filed under the name uncultured organism. Its description in RNAcentral is "SSU rRNA". It matches the Rfam family "Bacterial small subunit ribosomal RNA". The record is from RNAcentral.